AAGCUCUGGUUAUGCAACAGAGUGGUGUGGAGUGGAGAGGGACUCUCUUACUCUCAGCCCAGGCUAAUCCAAGUGCCGAGCUCUUCCUCUUUCCAGAAACACCAGAGAAGUUUCUAUUCUCUUUGUGCAGUCAGUGAAUUCUCUGUGGGGAUCUCCAUCUAUCUGGCAGGUCACAUUACAGCUCUGCUCUGUAACUGAUCUGCCCAUCGGUUUCCACAGAAGAAGUGUUGCUGAUGAAUGACUGCACAUGGCGCGGAGAAUUAUGUUGCAGAGUUGUUACUUUUCAACCAGGGAGCUUUCCUGGGAAAUUUCCAUGAUGUGCUGGACAGCUAAAGAGCUUUGGACAAUAUGUGGGAUACAGCUGCCAUAACUCAUCGUGACCAAUGAACAGAGAGAGCAAAAUGGAUAGAGAAGCUGAGGAUCAAGGAUGCCGGCAGGACACGCAUAUCUGUGCUUGGUGAUGAAUUUUACUGCGUUAGGGAAAGCUGGCUGACUUAAAAAGAUGCUAAACCUGCUGGCAAGGCAUAGCAAUAACCCCCCAAAGUCAGUGUGCUAUGACAACUGCAGUUUCCCUCAACAUGAGACAGCACUGAGUGCGCUGCCAAAUGUCAGCUAAACAGAUUUAUUUUCUCAGAGACCACUUUUUCUUGCCCUUGAAGCCUUCCCUGUGCUUUCCUCUGAGGUGUAGUUAUAAGCAGAGUUGGUAGCACUGCCCUGGAGUAAGUCCAUAUUACAGCUGUGCAGAGCAUAAUUUUGUUGUUUUGUUACAGUAUUUGACACUGCAGUACAGCGCCCUAACAAAGAUACAAACACCCAGGAUUUUAAUAAAAAAACCCAAAUCUUGAGAAAAUAAAACUCAUAUUUUCAUAGAAACAUGGAAUGGCUUCACUUGGAAGACACCUUAAAGAUCAUCCAGUUCCAACUUCCCUGCCAUGGACAGGGACACCUUCCACUGUCCCAGGUUGCUCCAAGGACUAUCCAACCUGGCCUUGGACACUUUCAGGGAUGGGACAGCCACAGCUUCUCUGGACAGGAAUUUUCAAGGAACCAAAAAUCACAAGGCUUGCUUUGAAGUUGGAACUCUCUCACAUGAAUGGAAACAAGUUUCCAGCUAAGUGCAGGUGCCUGCCAUAUGAGGAGAACAAAUCCUGGGACCAUGAGGAGCAAUUUGAUGACUGCUGUGUGCUCUGUGCCCACAGUAGAUUCAUGUCAAGUGGGGGCCGGCCAGCUGAGAGAUCUGCUUUUGUUUUUCCUGUCCUUGAUUUGAUGAUUGAAGCUUUUCAAACAGAACUACAACACACGGCAAGCAUCCACGAUGAAUUUCUAGAUAAAUAAACACUUGGGCUGAGGUUAUUUUGAAGAACGACAGCGUCAGUGCCUCCAAAUGGGAAAUAAUAGAGUGAACUGAGCCCAGACAUUUCUUUCUUUUUUUCUAGAGUUGGAGAACUGCUAUCCCUCCUGUUAACCUGUGCCUCUCUGUUUCAUAGAUUUUCCUGGUGCUUCUGAAGCACUGGGAAAGACAAAGUUAGGGCUGGCUAAGGGUCAGUCCAGGUCCACCCUGAGAGAAAAGAGGCUCUUCCCAUUGCCACAUUGCCCAGAAGUGGGGUGAGGGUCACUCCAGGCCUGGCUACUCAUGGGUUGUGGGCUUGGGGAAGAUCAAUCCCUUGCAGAGAUGUCCACUCCAGGUGAUUGCUCAGCCUUUCCCAGCUGGGGAUGGCUCAGGAGACAUGCCAGAGGCAGCCUUGUGUUGCCUAAGCAUAGCUCUUGGCUCCAUUGCUUGCUCAUCUGUGGCUUUGCCUUCGCUCACUUGUUUCCUUAGAUGAGCUCCUCUGCCUGCUUAUUUGUGUUAGGAAAAUUAUCGUUCUUGUAUUUCGGUCUGUGUCGCUUCCUCUGGGCCUGUUUUGUUAUUGCACAGAGGGAUGUCUCUAAUGAAGUGGACGGAAGGAGGAGGACUCAGGGCUUAUUUUUAUCCUAUACAUAGGAAGUUGGCCAGAACAGGGAAAAACAGAGCAGAAAGCCCUCAGAGCAUUCCCACCCCUCAGGGCUGGAGACAGCAAUCUCCACAGACCUUGCUCAAAUGUUCCACCCCUGCCCAAGGGAACUUUCUCCACAGUUUUGCUUGUUUGUUGUUGAAAGGGAAAACGUGUAUUGCUUCCUGCCACAGGGCCAGGGCUAGCUGCUCUGCCACUACUGCCAUCCAAGCCUCUUUUAUUAAUGAAUUAAACCUCAUACCACCAGACUGACUAAAAAAAGAAAACUAAAAAGGGGGGGACUUGUGUAUGUGUGUUAGUAAUGUAACAGCACCUGGGGCCCUGAUGGGGCUGGCACUGACAUUGCACUUCUGUAAAGAUGGGAGGGCUGGUCUGAGGAGCCCCAAACACAAAACCAACAGACAGGAUCGGGGCAGCAACACAGGGCAGACAUACAGAAAUAUGCAGUGGUUUCUUUUGUGUCCGUGAUGUUCUCAGAAGACAAUGGAUUAUCCCAGACCUUGGAACAACCAGGGAUAGUGGAAGGUGUCCCUGCCCUUGGCAGGGGCUUUGAAUUAGAUGGUCUUUAAGGUCCCCUCCAUUUCAAACCAUUCUGUGAUUCUAUGAUUCCAUAAUUUUAUGAUUCUAUGAUUCUACAAUCAGUGAUCAUUAGAUCAUGCCAUUAGCCUAGAAAUUUUGGGGAAGCUGAAGCAUGUGUUUUAAGGCAAGAUAUUUGCCUUGUGUUCAUCCUCUCUUUGUCCCAUUUAAUCCCCUUUCCAGAAGACAAGUUUGAUUUUUUUCCCCAGUUCUAAUGUCCAAGGAGAGGGCCAAGAGAGCAGACAGUGGGAACCCUCCCACACAACUUCCCUGGCGCAGACCGGCAUCGCCACGGAGCAUCUCCCUCCUCUGCUGCUGCUCCUGCCACACAGCUGGGCUUCAAAGAGGAUGCUCCUCUCCCACGUGCUUCAAAGGGAAAGCAGGAGCCACAGAACAAUUACUCCCACUCACAGGGAGAGGGGAAAUCCUCUUCUAACAGGGGAUCAUCCUGUUACAAUGAGGAUGUCUGGUGAUUUAUGACAUGCUGCUUUAAACCCUCUUUCCCCUCCAAAGAAACACAGGAGACAGCAGAGCUGGAGGGAGAUAGGAGAGACCUGACAUUGGCAAUGCUUGAAAUACAGUGUGAGAGCUGGGAAAACCCUUCUCUGCUGGCCUCAUUAGCAUGACUUAAUUAAUAGUUAUAAUCUUAUCAAGCAGAGGUUGCCAUGCAAGAGGGAUGUGCAGGCCAGGAAUCAAAGCUUUAAUAAAUAGAUAUUUUAAGACCA
Parus major (Great Tit) is the source of this 3292-nucleotide long non-coding RNA. NCBI's taxonomy places the organism in Eukaryota, Metazoa, Chordata, Aves, Passeriformes, Paridae. The record is from Ensembl.